CCUACGGGAGGCUGCAGUGGGGAAUUUUCCGCAAUGGGCGAAAGCCUGACGGAGCAACGCCGCGUGAGGGAGGAAGGUCUUUGGAUUGUAAACCUCUUUUCUCAAGGAAGAAGUUCUGACGGUACUUGAGGAAUCAGCCUCGGCUAACUCCGUGCCAGCAGCCGCGGUAAUACGGGGGAGGCAAGCGUUAUCCGGAAUUAUUGGGCGUAAAGCGUCCGCAGGUGGUCAGCCAAGUCUGCUGUCAAAUCAGGUUGCUUAACGACCUAAAGGCGGUGGAAACUGGCAGACUAGAGAGCAGUAGGGGUAGCAGGAAUUCCCAGUGUAGCGGUGAAAUGCGUAGAGAUUGGGAAGAACAUCGGUGGCGAAAGCGUGCUACUGGGCUGUAUCUGACACUCAGGGACGAAAGCUAGGGGAGCGAAAGGGAUUA
RNAcentral lists this ribosomal RNA (427 nucleotides) under uncultured bacterium. Its description in RNAcentral is "bacterial SSU rRNA". It matches the Rfam family "Bacterial small subunit ribosomal RNA", at positions 338 to 780 of the family's 1533-position model. The record is from RNAcentral.